This is a long non-coding RNA of Mastomys coucha (southern multimammate mouse), 1107 nucleotides long. RefSeq lists it as uncharacterized. The transcript is spliced from 3 exons. The record is from RefSeq and is a predicted model, not a curated record. NCBI's taxonomy places the organism in Eukaryota, Metazoa, Chordata, Mammalia, Rodentia, Muridae.
AAAUGUGUAAAGAUCUGCUUUUGUUUCCUACACUCACCCACUCCAAACAUUAACCUCAUACCAACCUCCCACUGCCCAUGAGGGCCGCAGGAAGCCUCUACAACACAGAGCAGCUAAAGGAAGUGGAUAGGCUCUAGCUUGGGCCACAGGGUGGCCCCACAGUCUAUCCAGUGCACCCUGGGCAGCCAAUCAAGGAAACCAAGGCACUGUUCCACGCACUACGAACACCGCAGUGAACAGAACAGACAAAUCCUCUGCUCUAUUCAUUCAUUCAAUGAAAGCGAACAACAGUAAACAGUAGGUGGAAUCUAUGCUGUGUUGUACUGAGCAGAGACAGGACUGCAGCUGGUAAGCUUGUACAGCAUACUUACGGUGAGUCUGAACUGAACACAUUCCUUCCUGUGGCUGCUGCCCAGACGUUCUGACAUCUGAGACUGCAGUGGGGAGCUUGGUGAGAAUUCUACCUGCCCGUUUGCUUGGCCCUGUGCGGGUACCAAGUUAGGGGCAUGGCAGGCCCUCUUUCAUCCCAGUGGCACUCUGUGUACCAGAAAUGCCAAGCACCUCCUCUGCAUCCAGCACUGCCCCGUUUUCUCUGGUAGUGAAGCCUUUCCCUGGUUUUAUAGCCUUAGGUCAUUUCGGUGGGAGUUUAUGAGGCAGAAGAAUUAAACAAAUUCAUCUUGCCAUCUCCAACCUGAGUUCAAAUAAACAUGGUAACUGGUGGUCAAGAGAGGUAACUCCUAAGCCCUUGUGUUACUUUCCAUGAUUCCAGUUAUCUGAAAAGAUAGAGGAAAACCAUUCCAGAAAUAAAUAAUUCACUAAUGUUUUUUAUCAUAUCAUGCUAUAUUAUUAGUUAUUAUUGCUAAUUUCAGUGAGUUUAGUUUAAAUCAAACUUCAUCAUGGAUACUCAUACAUAGGAGAAAACAGAGUAGAUAUAGAGUUUAGUGCUACCCACUGUUUCUGGCCUUCAUGGGUGUCUCGGGACACAUCCCCUGGGGAACAGGAACUGUUAUAGACAGUUAUGUUGCCUUGGGGACAUUAAGAAGCUGGAGUUUGUCUGGGGACAUAUCUGUCAAGAAAGAAUGUGCUAAAGAAGGGUUCCAAAUGCCU